RNAcentral lists this ribosomal RNA (351 nucleotides) under Escherichia coli. Its description in RNAcentral is "bacterial SSU rRNA". It matches the Rfam family "Bacterial small subunit ribosomal RNA", at positions 1176 to 1526 of the family's 1533-position model. RNAcentral also lists the same sequence under 1 other name. Lineage: Bacteria; Pseudomonadati; Pseudomonadota; Gammaproteobacteria; Enterobacterales; Enterobacteriaceae. The record is from RNAcentral.
GGGAUGACGUCAAGUCAUCAUGGCCCUUACGACCAGGGCUACACACGUGCUACAAUGGCGCAUACAAAGAGAAGCGACCUCGCGAGAGCAAGCGGACCUCAUAAAGUGCGUCGUAGUCCGGAUUGGAGUCUGCAACUCGACUCCAUGAAGUCGGAAUCGCUAGUAAUCGUGGAUCAGAAUGCCACGGUGAAUACGUUCCCGGGCCUUGUACACACCGCCCGUCACACCAUGGGAGUGGGUUGCAAAAGAAGUAGGUAGCUUAACCUUCGGGAGGGCGCUUACCACUUUGUGAUUCAUGACUGGGGUGAAGUCGUAACAAGGUAACCGUAGGGGAACCUGCGGUUGGAUCAC